This is a long non-coding RNA of Gallus gallus (chicken), 4462 nucleotides long. RefSeq lists it as uncharacterized. The record is from RefSeq and is a predicted model, not a curated record. NCBI's taxonomy places the organism in Eukaryota, Metazoa, Chordata, Aves, Galliformes, Phasianidae. The transcript is spliced from 2 exons.
UCCAAGCUCUAAGUGCUAGAAUUGGAAGCGGGAUGCGCCUGCAUUGCUUUGGGACCUGCUGUGCUUUGGACCCUGUCUUGCUUUAGGUCUUGCCUUGCUUUGGGCCGUGCUUUGCUUUGGGUUCUGCCUUGCCUUAGGUCUUGCCUUGCUUUGGGCCCUGCCAUGCUUUGUGGUAAUGCAGCUCUCAGGCUGCAAUCACCGAUGUUUGUUAAUUAAGCUGUAUUGCAGCUCGUGCCUGAGAGGCAUGGAACGUCUUCGUGUGCUUCUGUCUCACACCCUGCCAAGGCUCUGAAAUUGUCAUUUCAGGGAAUGCACGGAGAGACUGACUGAAAUCUGGGAGUUAAUUAAUUUAACCAGUUGCUUUUUUUCUGGCAUCACCCUUAUAAUAGAUGUAGGAGCCUGCUGGUUAUCAUCAUACCAUAUCUGAGGCGGAAAGCCUAUGUCUGGAUGGGGAGUGACAUUCUGCAUUGUGUUGCCCAGGAAAUUAACACUGGUGAAGCAGUGGAAUGGCUGAAAUCACGCAGUAACUGAAGAGCCAUCCCCCAGAAUAGAGUGGUGGAGCAGUGGGGCUCUCCUUGGCCGGAUCCGGACCUCACAGCACCUCCUGGUGCCAAAGUGUGGGGCAGGCGGCCAGAAACAGCACAGGGCCCCAUUCACGGGCAGGCACGGCUUCUGCUGCAGCAAGUAAGCACAGACAGGUUUGUCUGCUCUGUGCAGGAGACUCCAAACCCACAGGCAUGAAAGGAGCCCUUGUAGGGCUGCUGCUCCUGGGGGGCGCAUCGUAUGAAGGCCCUGCACGCUCAUUGCAGCCCAUCCGCGUGCACUGCCCACCUGGCCAUGCUGCUCCUGUGACAGAGGUGAUCAGCCAGGAGUUGACUGCAUGAAAAAAACCCAGCACUGAGAAUGCAGCUGGAAUGCAGCUGAGCCAUUCAGGUAUUUGUUAGUUAUUCCGAACAAAUGGUCUGGGUCUGCUCGGGUGCCAAAUACUGCACACGUACCCCUAUCCGUGCAUCAAAACUGAUGCAGGAGGGCUGCAGUCCCUCCUUGCAGCUCUGUAACCCAGGGCUGGAGCCAUGCACCAUGCAGAAGUACCUCAUGGGCUUCCCAAAAUUAAAGCAGUUGUUCUGCAUUCUGUUUGUCGUGCUCUUCUGGUGCCAGCAUGCAGCAGCACAAAACUCUCUUCUUCCCCUGCCUUGUUACAAUGCAGCCGACUAGUUCCAAAACUCCAUUAAUGACACUAAUUAAUGAUUACUCUGAAGCAAUUGGGGAGGUACAGCAGAGGGCACGCACCUGGAGUAGCAGGCCAGGCUGGUGCUCAGCACCGUGUUGAGCACUGCAACAGGGACGUAGCAGCAGUGGAAGAUGCUACCAACCCAUUCUUCUGGGAAAACGUAUGCUGAAUACGCCAGGGCUGAACCUGGAGGGGGAUGGGAGGACAUGAAUUCCCUGCAGGUUCCUUAUCCCGGGCUGAACCCCCCAUCCUUACCCAAGCUGUACAUGCUGAGCGCCGCGUAGUCGAAGAAGUAGCAGACGUGCCGGGCACGAGCCGACAUGGGGCUGAAGGUGUGGGCGCAGCUGGAGGCCAGUGGGUAGAUGCAGCAGCUCAGCAGGUAGGCGAGCAGCGGCCAGGCGGGGGGGUCCCGGCCCCCCGGCCCCCACAGCCGCCCCACCAGCAUCCACACGAAGUACCUGUGAGCACACGGUGAGCGUCACGCCCGGCGCAUCCCCUGCCCCGACGGCGCGGUGACGGCCGUGAGACGCACCAUGCAGGGAGGAAGUGGGUCCAGAUGUUGAGCGUUUCGUUGGUCAUCUGGAAGGCACUGAGGACGCAGUCGGCUGCUGAGAUCCUCGGGGGGCGGUACCCACAGAGGAUGCCCUGCUCCUGGUACCCCUGCGAGGUGCAGAGCAGUGGCAGAGCGUCCCCCAAGGGGAGGUCCGGCCAUCAGCACCCUGGGUGCAGGGUGAGGGUCCCGCAUCCCUCCAGCCCCAGGGGAUGGGAGCUGCUCUCUGACCUUAGGCACUUGGUGGAUGCUGAGCAGUCGGGGCAGCUUCAGGCUCAGCAUUGCGCCGUCGGGACCACGGCUCCGUGGGACGGUGCCUCACAUCCCUGCCCUGCGGGUGGCGCCGGGAGCGGUGGGGAUGUGGCUGCCCCGUGGUGAUGGCUCUGCGCUCAGGAUGGGUGGCCUGUGGGACACGAGCAUUGGUGGGAAUGUGGUCUCCAACGCACCGGUGCUGAAGGCGUGGAUGUUGGAGAUGGAGGCUGGCACCCCCUGCAGUCAGCGUGGGGUUUCUGGGGUCCCCCACUGCCACUCAUACAGCAAGAGGGUGAAGUGGGGGAUGUGCGGCUCUCCCCACCUGCCCUCUCCCCAUCAGACAUCAGGGAACACGGAGCAAUCCCGGCACCUCCAGCACUUACCCAACUGCACCGUCUCUCCACUCCCUGCCUGCACCGCCGGGCUGUGGAGUAAAGGUGAAGAAAGCUGAAUUCCCAGGGUGGAGACCAGCAGAGCUGUGGGCAGCACCCUGCUAUGCGCCCCACUGCACCCACGCCUCCUCCUCGCCCUCCCCAUAACCUCCCCGAGCGGGGAUUCGUCACACCUUGCUGCUGCACGGAGCGGCCACAGAGCCCUACCAGAGCCCUUUGCUCUCUCCUCCCAGUGCUUCCCACUGUGUGCCCCUGCCCAGGCUGUGUCCUGAUCCCUGUGGAUGAGGCUGGGGGUGCAGGGGGUGCCCAGGAGGCACAGCAGCCAGGAGUGGUUAACAAGAGAAAAAUUAACGAGGCGAGAGAGCAAUAAACCUGACAUGGAACGAAGUUGGGAAUGCCUUUAGUUAAAGAUUAGUCUCCAGUUGGGACCUUUCUCUUGGCUGUUGCACCAGCAGCAUGCAAGUAUUUGCAUUCUCCACCAGCAAAGACACAGAGCUCUGCCUGCUCCUGUCCCCACAGAUAGGAACACAAAUGAGCUCAACGAUGGGAUGGAACAAAAAUACUUUUUCUUAUCUUGGAGAUAAGAAGGUGCGAGCUGUGUGACGAGCUGGCACCAGGCACGCGCUGGGCUGCAAAUACAUGGGGGCAGCAGCUGGGUUUGCAGGAGUGCAAAACAGGGAUGGCAAUGGGGAUAGGAGCAGGGGCAGGAAUGGAGAGAGGGACAGGGAUGGGAUGGGGACAGGGAUGCCUGCGCACGCAUCCAUGCAUCUUCUCCUCUUGCCUGGCUAGAGGAACAGCUCAAUGCAGGUGUAGCACAGCAGUAUGAGCAUUGCCCCAUUGCAUGCAUAACUUCUCUGAGUGGCAUAGGGGUGCUCAGGGUGACAAAGUGACCUCAGUGAACUGAGAAACGAUCAGAAAAUGACGGGUGGCUGCAAUGCUUCCUGCUCCCAGGAGGAAACACAAUGGGUUGGCUGCGGGUGAUGUGGUGGGGACAGCGCCUGGUGACAGCCGGAGGGACCCGGCCUCUCUCAGCAGGGAGCUCCCCAGCUGCAGCAACCAGUUUGUGUUUUUAUGAGCAAAGUGAGUCACUGGGCUGAGGCCACAGGAGCUGCAGGCACACCCUGCAGCCCCACUCCUUCCUGCUCCAAGGGCACAUUUGGUGAGGCAGUGGGGCAGGGAUGGGGGACAUCACCCUGGUGGGAAGCACGGACAUAUCUUUAGUGGUGACCUCUGCGGCAGCAAGCUGCAAGGCCUGGAGGUGUGCUGCAAACACACCCUUAUCCUCCUCCUUCUCCCCCUGUUCCUCCUCCUCCUCUUUCUCCCCAUCCCCAUGGCCAUGUGCAGCCCCAACGCAUCCCCAUCGGCGCGUCAGCUCAGUGUGUGUGUGAAGCCCUGUGUGCCAGUGAAGGGGAAGUUAUUUUAGCUGUUAAUCAUUAACUUUUACAGCUUUCUUAGAGCAGCACAGGAGCAGAACCGGCUGAGCCAUAGAGCUGGGACUGUGCAGGGGCCGCUGGCACUGUGGGGUUGCGCACAAGCAGCUCGGUGGUACCCAAGCUGAGCUGGGGACCCACGGCUCUUCUCCACCAAGAGAAGAGUUCCAUCUGCCCCACACACAAACCCCCACAUCCCCUGGCCUUGCACGGCCGGAAAGCAGUAGCCCAGCAGCCCAGCAGCACAGCAGCACGGCAGCCCUUGGGAUAGCAGCACAAAGCGCAGCGGCGGAGCGGGGCGAAGCGAGCGUGCCGUACUUACACAGCGGCCGGGCGCAGGGCUGGGCGAUGCCGCGCUGGCGCCGAGCUGUUGCUCAUCUGUGUACAAACAGAGCCCGCAUGGCCCAGCGAUGGAGCUGCAUGGGAGGGGACGGUGGGACGGGACGGGGCCGCCUGGGGACGGUUCCCACUGGGCGCGGGAAGGACGCGGGGAGGUCAGCGCGCGCGGUUGGGUUGGAGCCAAGGAGUGCUGGCCGGGUGCGAAGGGAAUGGGGGAAAAAAAUAAAACCCACAACAAAACACCACCGGAAAUCGCAGCAGCCAAACU